Molecule: ribosomal RNA, 1948 nt
Filed under: human gut metagenome
Description: bacterial LSU rRNA
Rfam family: Bacterial large subunit ribosomal RNA
Source: RNAcentral
GAAAGUAAGCAAGGGCAGACGGUGGAUGCCUUGGCUCUCGGAGGCGACGAAGGACGUGAUAAGCUGCGAAAAGCUCGGGGGAGGCGCAAAUAGCCCUUGAUCCCGGGAUAUCCGAAUGGGGCAACCCGGCAGGCUGAAGGCCUGCCAUCCCGUAAGGGAGGCGAACGUGGGGAACUGAAACAUCUAAGUACCCAUAGGAGGAGAAAAUAAACAAUGAUUCCGUAAGUAGUGGCGAGCGAACACGGAAGAGCCCAAACCCGUGCCGUCUAGGCGACACGGGGGUUGUAGGACCACGACGUGGCAAGAUAGAGUCAAGUGGAACGCCUUGGAAAAGGCGACCGUAGAGGGUGAUAGUCCCGUACACGACUGACGAUUGAAGCCUAGUGGCAUCCUGAGUAGCGCGGGGCACGAGAAAUCUUGCGUGAAACUGCGGGGCCCAUCCCGUAAGGCUAAAUACUCCCGAGAGACCGAUAGCGAACCAGUACCGUGAGGGAAAGGUGAAAAGAACCCCGAGCAGGGGAGUGAAAUAGACCCUGAACCCGUCUGCCUACAAGCGGUCGGAGCAUCGUCAAGAUGUGACGGCGUGCCUUUUGCAUAAUGAACCUACGAGUUACCUUCCCCGGCAAGGUUAAGUACCUAAGGUACGGAGCCGAAGCGAAAGCGAGUCUGAAUAGGGCGGCCAGUCGGGGGGGGUAGACGCGAAACCGAGUGAUCUACCCUUGGCCAGGUUGAAGGUUGGGUAACACCAACUGGAGGACCGGAUGGGUAAGCGUUGAAAAGCUUUCCAAUGAGCUGAGGGUAGGGGUGAAAGGCUAAUCAAACUCGGAGAUAGCUCGUACUCCCCGAAAUGCAUUUAGGUGCAGCCUCUUUAUAGUAUAUCGUGAGGUAGAGCGACUGAUUGGAUGCGAGGGCUUCACCGCCUAUCAAGUCCAGAUAAACUCCGAAUGCGCGAUAUAUAUUUAAAGGGAGUGAGGGCGCGGGUGCUAAGGUCCGUGUCCGAGAGGAGAAGAAUCCAGACCACCGGCUAAGGCCCCCAAAUGAUCGUUGAGUUGAACUAACGAGGUCGGAUCGCAGAGACAGCUAGGAUGUUGGCUUGGAAGCAGCCAUUCAUUUAAAGAGUGCGUAACAGCUCACUAGUCGAGCGAUCUGGCGUGGAUAAUAAUCGGGCAUAAACGAUCUGCCGAAGCCGUGGAUGUCGUAAGACAUGGUAGGGGAGCAUUCCAUGCGGCGUCGAAGAUGAGGGAUGACCCUUGUUGGAGCGCAUGGAAAAGCAAAUGUAGGUAUGAGUAACGAUAAGGGGGGCGAGAAACCCCCCCGCCGAAAGACCAAGGUUUCCUGAUCAACGCUAAUCGGAUCAGGGUGAGUCGGGACCUAAGGCAAAGCCGAACGGCGCCGCCGAUGGAAGAAUGGGUUAAUAUUCCCAUACUGCCUCAUGGAGUGACGUGGAGACGGAGAAGUGACAGUCCUGCCGGCUGACGGAAUAGCCGGUUGAAGGGUGUAGAUAUUGAUUCCCGUAGGCAAAUCCGCGGGGAGAGUCGAACCUGAGAGUAUACGGAGCGCUUGCGCAACGUAAUAUGGACGUAACCAUGCUCCCGAGAAAAUCCGCUAAACUUAUCCAUGCGGCACCCGUACCGUAAACGGACACACGUGGUCGGGUUGAGAAUACUGAGGCGCUCGAGUGACUCACGGUUAAGGAACUAGGCAAAUUGACCCUGUAACUUCGGGAUAAAGGGUCCUCGUCGUAAGGCGAGGCGCAGAGAAUAGGUCCAGGCAACUGUUUAACAAAAACACAUGGCUGUGCUAAAUGGAAACAUGACGUAUACAGCCUGACACCUGCCCGGUGCUGGAAGGUUAAGAGGAGAUGUCAUCGCAAGAGAAGCGUUGAAUUGAAGCCCCAGUAAACGGCGGCCGUAACUAUAACGGUCCUAAGGUAGCGAAAUUCCUUGUC